AUUGAACGCUGGCGGCAGGCCUAACACAUGCAAGUCGAGCGGAGCGGCGGACGCGUGAGGAAUGCCUAGGUAUCUGCCUGUUAGUGGUGGAUCACGUCCAGAAACGGGCGCCUUUACCACAUCCUAUCAGUUGAGGCUAGGUCGGAUUUGCUAGUUGGUGGGGUAAAGGCCUACCACGGCGACGAUCCGUAACUGGUCUGAGAGCAUGAUCAGUCACACUGGAACUGAGACACGGUCCAGACUCCUACGGGAGGCAGCAGUGGGGAAUAUUGGACAAUGGGCGAAAGCCUGAUCCAGCCAUGCCGCGUGUGUGAAGAAGGUCUUCGGAUUGUAAAGCACUUUCAGUUGGGAGGCGUUACCAACAGAGUAAGCACCGGCUAACUUCGUGCCAGCAGCCGCGGUAAUAC
This 407-nucleotide ribosomal RNA is filed under the name uncultured bacterium. RNAcentral describes it as "partial 16S ribosomal RNA". It matches the Rfam family "Bacterial small subunit ribosomal RNA", at positions 30 to 526 of the family's 1533-position model. The record is from RNAcentral.